GCCCGUGGGGGGGCCCCACACAUCGCAGGUCGAGGGGCUUGCAUUCACUUCGGUGAGAUGGCGACCGGCGGACGGGUGUGUAACGCGUAUGCAACCUACCCAUUACAGGGGGAUAGCCCGAAGAAAUUUGGAUUAAUACCCCAUAAUAUUAUUGGAUGGCAUCAUUUAAUGAUUAAAGAGUUAUUGGUAAUGGAUGGGCAUGCGUCCCAUUAGCUAGUUGGUGGGUUAACAGCUUACCAAGGCGACGAUGGGUAGGGGUUCUGAGAGGAAGGUCCCCCACACUGGUACUGAGAUACGGACCAGACUCCUACGGGAGGCAGCAGUAGGGAAUAUUGGUCAAUGGGCGAUAGCCUGAACCAGCCAUGCCGCGUGCAGGACGACGGCCUUCUGGGUUGUAAACUGCUUUUAUACAGGAAUAAAAUUGUCUUGCGAGACCGAUUGCAUGCACUGUAUGAAUAAGCACCGGCUAACUCCGUGCCAGCAGCCGCGGUAAUACGGAGGGUGCAAGCGUUGUCCGGAUUUAUUGGGUUUAAAGGGUGCGUAGGCGGUUAUUUAAGUCAGUGGUGAAAACCCUGAGCUCAACUGAGGGCUUGCCAUUGAUACUGAGUAACUUGAUUACCGUAUAGGUAGGCGGAAUUUAUGGUGUAGCGGUGAAAUGCAUAGAUACCAUAAAGAACACCGAUAGCGAAGGCAGCUUACUGGACGGUUAGUGACGCUGAUGCACGAAAGCGUGGGUAGCGAACGGGAUUAGAUACCCCGGUAGUCCACGCUGUAAACGAUGAUCACUCGAUGUGUGCGAUAUACAGUACGCGUCCAAGCGAAAGCGUUAAGUGAUCCACCUGGGGAGUACGACCGCAAGGUUG
RNAcentral lists this ribosomal RNA (863 nucleotides) under uncultured bacterium. RNAcentral describes it as "bacterial SSU rRNA". It matches the Rfam family "Bacterial small subunit ribosomal RNA", at positions 35 to 896 of the family's 1533-position model. The record is from RNAcentral.